This 1126-nucleotide ribosomal RNA is filed under the name uncultured Rickettsia sp. RNAcentral describes it as "partial 23S ribosomal RNA". It matches the Rfam family "Bacterial large subunit ribosomal RNA", at positions 474 to 1693 of the family's 2925-position model. The record is from RNAcentral. Lineage: Bacteria; Pseudomonadati; Pseudomonadota; Alphaproteobacteria; Rickettsiales; Rickettsiaceae.
UCUCUAGUGACCGAUAGUGAACAAGUACCGUGAGGGAAAGGUGAAAAGUACCCCGACAAGGGGAGUGAAAUAGUAUCUGAAACCAAAUGCUUACAAGCAGUCGGAGCAAGCAUUUAUGUCUUGUGACGGCGUACCUUUUGUAUAAUGGGUCAGCGACUUAGUUUAUCUAGCAAGCUUAAGCCGUUAGGUGUAGGCGUAGCGAAAGCGAGUCUGAAUAGGGCGACUAUAGUUAGAUGAAUUAGACCCGAAACCGAGUGAUCUAGCCAUGGCCAGGUUGAAAGCGGAGUAAAAUCCGCUGAAGGACCGAACCCACUACUGUUGAAAAAGUAGGGGAUGAGCUGUGGUUAGGGGUGAAAGGCCAAUCAAACUCGGAUAUAGCUGGUUCUCCGCGAAAUCUAUUUAGGUAGAGCGUUAUAGCGGUUACCAUCGGAGGUAGAGCACUGAAUGAGCUAGGGGGUCCCACAGACUUACCAAACUCAAUCAAACUCCGAAUGCCGAUGAGUAUAGCAUAGCAGACAGACUAUGGGUGCUAAGGUCCAUAGUCGAGAGGGAAAAAGCCCAGACCGCCAUCUAAGGUCCCUAAAUCAUGACUAAGUGUUAAAGGAUGUGAGAAGACCAAAACAACUAGGAUGUUGGCUUAGAAGCAGCCAUCAUUUAAAGAAAGCGUAAUAGCUCACUAGUCUAAAUAAGUUUUCUUGCGCCAACAAUGUAACGGGGCUCAAGUCAUGUACCGAAGAUGCGGAUUCACACAUUUGGUGUGAGUGGUAGCGGAGCGUUCCGUAAGCCUGUGAAGGUGAACCGUAAGGUUUGCUGGAGGUAUCGGAAGUGAGAAUGCUGACAUAAGUAGCGAUAAAGAAUGCGAGAAACAUUCUCGCCGAAAGUCCAAGGGUUCUUGCGUAAAGUUAAUCUGCGCAAGGUUAGUCGGCCCCUAAGGUGAGGCUGAAAGGCGUAAUCGAUGGGAAUCAGGUUAAUAUUCCUGAACCUGAAGGAUGUGACGAAAGUAGUAAGUUGUACAGUCUUAUUGGAUUGAUUGUGCAGCGAAUAUUUUCCAGGAAAUAACACCUUCAUUAUAGACCGUACCCGAAACCGACACAGGUGGACAGGUAGAGUAUACCAAGGCGCUUGA